AUUUCUCAAUAUCAAUUCAUUUUCGUAAUUUUGCAAUUCUCCAUUUCCCAAGUUCUACCGACUUUCCAAUUUCACAAAAUGUUUGCCAAAUAUUUCUUGAUUGCUGUCCUCCUUGUUGCUGGGAUCCAAGCAAUGUCCAUGAAUCCAGAGGAGAAGCUUUUCUUCGCCAAUAUACCAAUUGCCACUAACCAAACUUUCAACCUUGUUCCGUUAUCCUGCACUCUGUUCGGCGUUCUCUGCCCCUUCGGCUACACCGGACCCAGAGGCGGUUAACUUUUGAUUUUUAACACGUAUCAAAAAAUAAUACAUUUGAUAUUAAAUUCAAAUAAAAUACUUAACUUGAAA
Molecule: long non-coding RNA, 345 nt
Organism: Folsomia candida
Lineage: Eukaryota; Metazoa; Arthropoda; Collembola; Entomobryomorpha; Isotomidae
Exons: 2
Source: RefSeq, a predicted model, not a curated record